This is a non-coding RNA of Gorilla gorilla gorilla (western lowland gorilla), 99 nucleotides long. It matches the Rfam family "Y RNA". From Rfam's summary of the family: Y RNAs are components of the Ro ribonucleoprotein particle (Ro RNP), in association with Ro60 and La proteins. The Y RNAs and Ro60 and La proteins are well conserved, but the function of the Ro RNP is not known. The record is from Rfam. Lineage: Eukaryota; Metazoa; Chordata; Mammalia; Primates; Hominidae.
GGCUGGUCUGAGUGCAAUGGUGUUUAAACUAACUGAUCGCAAUGUUAUGGAUUUCUUUGUUCCUCCUCCACUCUCAUUGCUUCACUUGACUAGCCUUCA